Molecule: long non-coding RNA, 276 nt
Organism: Gastrolobium bilobum
Lineage: Eukaryota; Viridiplantae; Streptophyta; Magnoliopsida; Fabales; Fabaceae
Exons: 3
Source: RefSeq, a predicted model, not a curated record
AUCAAUCCUUGGUUGUGUGACCAUUGGUGGAUUGAGGCAAGAGGACCAAGUGGAGUGACCAACCCUUGGGGUUGUGUGCAAUUGAGGAAAGCUCAAGAGCAAGGUAAGGAAGCUGCAGGAGACUCUGAUGGCAAGUGGCCUUAUUUGCAGUAGAUCAUGCAUGAAGAAAAUGAUGUUUUGAGAUCAUACAUGUUAUUUUGUAGAUUUACAUGUAUAGGAUUGAUCAUUGAUAGCAUUGACGUAUGUAUAUCUCGUUAUAUUUGAUGGACUUAGCCU